GGCUCCUCGGAGCACGUGCACGCCUCUGGGGUCGCGCCUUCAAUUCGCUUACCCUCCCUUGUGCACUCCAUGUAGGUCGCCCCCCUCGGCGCCUACGAUUUUCGUACACACCCCGAUCGCAUGUAUGUCGUGCAGCUCUUUGUAUAACACAAAAGAAAUACAACUUUCAACAACGGAUCUCUUGGCUCUCGCAUCGAUGAAGAACGCAGCGAAAUGCGAUAAGUAAUGUGAAUUGCAGAAUUCAGUGAAUCAUCGAAUCUUUGAACGCACCUUGCGCUCUUUGGCCAUUCCAAAGAGCAUGCCUGUUUGAGUGUCAUUGAAUCCUCAAGCCCCCCAAUCUUGCCGUUGCGGGGAGCCUUGGACUUUGGGAGUACUGCGGGGCCCCCCCCUCCUUUGGGCGCCCCGCUCUCCUCAAACGCAUCAGUAGGGCCUCAUCCCCACCCUCGGGUCCCUCGUGGCGUUGAUAGUCGUCUACGCCUCGUCCCCCCGUCGGGUUUUGACCCCGCUCCCCAACCAGAGGUUGACCCCUCUCUUUGAACGCUUUGACCUCAAAUCAGGUAGGACUACCCGCUGAACUUAAGCAUAUCAAUAAGCGGAGGAAAAGAAACUAACAAGGAUUCCCCUA
RNAcentral lists this ribosomal RNA (625 nucleotides) under Volvariella morozovae. RNAcentral describes it as "eukaryotic LSU rRNA". The stretch from base 162 to 316 matches the Rfam family "5.8S ribosomal RNA". Lineage: Eukaryota; Fungi; Basidiomycota; Agaricomycetes; Agaricales; Pluteaceae. The record is from RNAcentral.